UGCAGCGACGCCGCGUGAGGGAUGACGGCCUUCGGGUUGUAAACCUCUUUCAGCACGGAAGAAGCGAAAGUGACGGUACGUGCAGAAGAAGCGCCGGCUAACUACGUGCCAGCAGCCGCGGUAAUACGUAGGGCGCAAGCGUUGUCCGGAAUUAUUGGGCGUAAAGAGCUCGUAGGCGGUUUGUCGCGUCUGCUGUGAAAGCCCGGGGCUUAACCCCGGGUGUGCAGUGGGUACGGGCAGACUUGAGUGCAGUAGGGGAGACUGGAAUUCCUGGUGUAGCGGUGAAAUGCGCAGAUAUCAGGAGGAACACCGAUGGCGAAGGCAGGUCUCUGGGCUGUUACUGACGCUGAGGAGCGAAAGCAUGGGGAGCGAACAGGAUUAGAUACCCUGGUAGUCCAUGCCGUAAACGUUGGGCACUAGGUGUGGGGAACAUUCCACGUUUUCCGCGCCGUAGCUAACGCAUUAAGUGCCCCGCCUGGGGAGUACGGCCGCAAGGCUAAAACUCAAAUGAUUUGG
This 516-nucleotide ribosomal RNA is filed under the name Kocuria sp. RNAcentral describes it as "bacterial SSU rRNA". It matches the Rfam family "Bacterial small subunit ribosomal RNA", at positions 387 to 913 of the family's 1533-position model. The record is from RNAcentral. Lineage: Bacteria; Bacillati; Actinomycetota; Actinomycetes; Micrococcales; Micrococcaceae.